RNAcentral lists this unclassified non-coding RNA (212 nucleotides) under uncultured Entoloma. RNAcentral's name for it is "sequence contains ITS2". Lineage: Eukaryota; Fungi; Basidiomycota; Agaricomycetes; Agaricales; Entolomataceae. The record is from RNAcentral.
AAUUAUCAAGGUCCUCUCCUUUUCCUGGUCUGGAUUUUUGGAUUUAUGGGGGAAUUGCUGAUUUGAAAACCAAUUAGCUCCUCUGAAAUACAUUAGCAAUAAGGCUUCUGCUGCCAAUUUGUGGUGUGAUACAUUUUUAUUUACACUAUUUUAAAAAGGCAGUUAAUCAGUUCUUGUGGCUUCUAAUUGUCUGUUUGGACAGUGUUUUAACA